UUCAGGUUUCAUCCAAUCAUCCCCUUCUGACAUUAUGAAAUAAAUCUCCGAGGCAGGUAGGCACGGCAGCAGUUUUGAUUGAAGGAAGGAGUUUGGGGGCAGGUGGGAAGAGGGCAGAAGCAGCAGGAAAAUGAAAGUAAUAUUUACUGAGCAUUUGUUUGGAGCAUUUAAAUAUCGAAGGAAGGAGAUCUCAGCAUACUAAGUCAUAAGUACUCACAACAAGCCUGUGAGGACAAUGUUGUUAUUCCUGUCACACAAAUAAAGAUACUGGGACUUAAAGAAUUUAACUAUUUUGUCUCAGGUCAGACUAUCAAUAGGAAACAGAACCAGGACUAGAAUCCACACUUUGGAAUUGGCCCCAAAGCCCAUUGCUCUAUGAGGUCAUAAUUCCUGAGACUACUAGAUGACUACUUUUUAACCUUCCCAGAUGAUCCCUUGUGUCUAGAAACCCCCAGCUGAACUUUAAGGAGGCUGAACCCCGCCUCCGCUGGGCUUCACUUUAGAACAUCCUUGCUUUCUGGCUCCACAAAGCCCAAGGAAAGACUUUUCCCUUUGAAGUACAGCUUCUCUCUCAGGUGAUUUGUAACAUUCGAGGCAAAGCACGAGCGUUUGCCUGGUUCAUAAGCACAAGUCCCCGAGAACCUGCAGAGAUCACGUGGUGCAGUGAAAAGCUGGCGCAUGCCCAUAGAGGCGCGGCUUCUGCCACCAGCCGGCUCUACCCAGCUUCAGCGGCUCUGAGCUUUAUAGGCCCCUGCAGUUGGCUGCCCAAGUCUUAGAAGGUUGGUUGUGUGGAGCCUUUCGUGUAUCAGGAAAACUUCUUUUACACUCCAGAGUCGUCUGUCUCUGACCAAAUGAAAAUCACAGAGGAGACAGAUUUUAAAUGAGAGGAAACGAAGGGUUUAAACUGAGCUGAACACGAAUUCUAAGUAAAGAAGAAGGCUGUGAGCUUGAAACUGUGUGCUCUUUCUUAACCAUGGGAGCCCUGCUGAGCACCUUGGGAAAUGGCCAUUCUUAGGCCUGGUUUCACAACAUCACCAGGUCUUCCUAUGUUUCCAGCAUUGAGCGAGGCUCUGGAAUUGGGGAAGGAAUCACAAAAAUGCCCACGAUCUAGAGGCUGAGCUGGAGAAACAAACAAAAGUGCUGCGGACUGAUCAUUUCUGGAAGCAAGUUCUACAUAAAGGGAAGAGCUGCUGCAACUCUGACAUCCCUUCACGUGGUGAGAAUGUUUCUAGGAGCCUGGAUGCCCUGGCGGCUUCCGCAGGAGAGAGGUACGUGGUGACCCCAGUGUCAACAAAUGGAAUUCACACGGCAGAGAUGCUUGGACUUCAGAGGCCUGUCUCAGCUGGACUGGGCUCUAGCUCUGGCCAGAAGCUUGCCAGCCACAGGCCGAUGGAGUAUAUGGCAUAGGGUCUGGAAUGGGGGGAGGCCCAGGUUAAAAUCUCAGCUUUCAUACCUACGGGCUUUGUGACUUUAGUCUGUUUAUAGCCUCUUUAAGCUUCCAUGUUCAUAUCUGUAAAGUGAGGAUGAUGAUACCACUCACCUCCCAGCAUUGUUAUGAGGAUUAACAGAGAUAACACAUGUUAAGUGCUUAGUGUAGCCCUUAGCAUAUAGUAACUAUAUAAUGAAUGUUCACAAAAGAAAAAACAAAGCAAAACAAAAUGAAAUUCAGUCAGCCAAAUAACAACAAAAAUAGGACAAUAUGGGGCACCUGG
This is a long non-coding RNA of Acinonyx jubatus (cheetah), 1712 nucleotides long. RefSeq lists it as uncharacterized. The transcript is spliced from 5 exons. The record is from RefSeq and is a predicted model, not a curated record. Lineage: Eukaryota; Metazoa; Chordata; Mammalia; Carnivora; Felidae.